GCUUACUGCCGUACCACCCUGAGCACGCGCCGAUCUCGUCUAAUCUCGGAAGCUAAGCAGGGUCGGGCCUGGUUAGUACUUAGAUGGGAGACCGCCUGGGAAUCCCAGAUGCUGUAAGCU
Betta splendens (Siamese fighting fish) is the source of this 120-nucleotide ribosomal RNA. The record is from Ensembl. Lineage: Eukaryota; Metazoa; Chordata; Actinopteri; Anabantiformes; Osphronemidae.